This 403-nucleotide ribosomal RNA is filed under the name uncultured bacterium. RNAcentral's name for it is "partial 16S ribosomal RNA". It matches the Rfam family "Bacterial small subunit ribosomal RNA", at positions 29 to 526 of the family's 1533-position model. The record is from RNAcentral.
AUUGAACGCUGGCGGCAGGCCUAACACAUGCAAGUCGAGCGAGCGGCGGACGGGUGAGUAAUGUAUGGGGACUGCCCGUUAGAGGGGGAUAACUCCUGGAAAAGGUAGCGAAAACCGCAAAUAAUGGGAGAACCAAGAUGGGAUUAGUUAGAAGGUGAGGUAAUGGCCCCCCUAGGAGACGAUCCCUAGCUGGUCUGAGAGGAUGAUCAGCCACACUGGGACUGAGACACGGCCCAGACUCCUACGGAGGCAGCAGUGGGGAAUAUUGCACAGUGGGCGCAAGCCUGAUGCAGCCAUGCCGCGUGUAUGAAGAAGGCCCUAGGGUUGUAAAGUACUUUCAGUCGGGAGGCGUUACCGACAGAAGAAGCACCGGCUAACUCCGUGCCAGCAGCCGCGGUAAUAC